Non-coding RNA from Camellia sinensis, 866 nucleotides. Lineage: Eukaryota; Viridiplantae; Streptophyta; Magnoliopsida; Ericales; Theaceae. The record is from RefSeq and is a predicted model, not a curated record.
UUGAACCCCACGGUUCCGGAUUGGAACCGAUCCGGACCAUCUAAAAAUAAUCUAUAUUUAUACUAUAUACCUUGCCACAGAAUAUAAUUUCUUCUCUCGUAUAAAAACUAAAAUGUGACCUAAUUUAUGCCUCUCUCAUUCACGCCUCAUCUCAUCUCUCUGUUGUCGAUGGUGUCUCUCUCUCUUCUCUUUCUCAUCUCAGACUGAGUUCUCUCUCACACUCUCAUCCAUCUCAGAUCAGAUCGGCGACGGUGUGCUGCUCGUCUCUCACUCUUGAUCAUCCAUCUCAGAUCAGAUCGGUAGCUAUAGCUAUUGUCUCUCUCUCUCUCGAUGAGCUCCUCUCUCUCUUUCUUUGUCUCUCUUGUUCUCUAAUACUCUGAAAUGGGUUUAAUCUCAAAGAAAAAACAUACGCAAUACACUGCUGUGAUUUCAUCUCAGAUCGGUGGAUUUAAUCUCGAAUCGAUUGUUCAUGUCAUCUACAAUGGAUUCAGUAAAUGUUUUCAGCAGCUAUGUUGCUAUUGGAAUGGAAAUGUAAUGUCUAUAUUUUUUUUGUUAUUUAAUUAUUUAAAUCCGUGGUCCUAAACCGAUCCAAUCCGUGUUUCAAUGGAUUGGUUCGGAUUGGUUCCACCAUUUAAACGGAUUGGAUUGGUUUUAAUUUUUUAGGAACCGUAGACAACGGAUUGGUCCUGGUUUUCUCUCAAUCCGAACCAAUCCGGUCCAUGCUCACCCCUAGUUUGGAAGACGAUCCAUUGAGUCCACUCAUGUUUUUAAUUUUAAUUUGAAAGAAGAUUUAUGUUUUUAAUUUUAAUUUGAAAGAGGAUUUAUGUUUUUAAUUUUAGCUUGGAAGACGGUCCUUUCAGUCCACC